CCUGUCCCUGGAAGCCUUGCAGGUGUGGCUGCUAUGUCACACAUGCAUCAUAAGUGGCAGAGAGGAGAGAGGUCAUGUCUAUGCUCAGCAUCUGAUCUAUGAACAGCUGAAUGAUUAGUACCCUAACAUA
This is a small nucleolar RNA of Apodemus sylvaticus (European woodmouse), 130 nucleotides long. RefSeq annotates it as small nucleolar RNA SNORA17. The record is from RefSeq and is a predicted model, not a curated record. NCBI's taxonomy places the organism in Eukaryota, Metazoa, Chordata, Mammalia, Rodentia, Muridae. The transcript has a single exon.